UACGUAGGGCGCAAGCGUUGUCCGGAAUUAUUGGGCGUAAAGAGCUCGUAGGCGGUCUGUCGCGUCUGCUGUGAAAACCUAGGGCUUAACUCUGGGCGUGCAGUGGGUACGGGCAGGCUAGAGUGCGGUAGGGGAGACUGGAAUUCCUGGUGUAGCGGUGAAAUGCGCAGAUAUCAGGAGGAACACCGGUGGCGAAGGCGGCCCCCUGGACAAAGACUGACGCUCAGGUGCGAAAGCGUGGGGAGCAAACAGG
Molecule: ribosomal RNA, 253 nt
Filed under: uncultured bacterium
Lineage: Bacteria
Description: partial 16S ribosomal RNA
Rfam family: Bacterial small subunit ribosomal RNA
Source: RNAcentral